Molecule: small nucleolar RNA, 129 nt
Filed under: Dasypus novemcinctus (nine-banded armadillo)
Lineage: Eukaryota; Metazoa; Chordata; Mammalia; Cingulata; Dasypodidae
Description: Small nucleolar RNA SNORA31 (ENSDNOG00000029983.1)
Source: RNAcentral
AGGCAUCCAAGACUUGGAACAGUUAAUGUCUGCUGCUAAGGUUUCUACUACAGAUACAAGAAAAAUAAGGUCCUCACAAUUUCUGUCUGUCUGGUUGUGGCAGCCAAGAUUGAAAGGGGGAAUACAUGU